UAUUCCUACGGGGGGCAGCAGUAGGGAAUCUUCCACAAUGGGCGAAAGCCUGAUGGAGCAACGCCGCGUGGGUGAAGAAGGUCUUCGGAUCGUAAAACCCUGUUGUUAGAGAAGAAAGUGCGUGAGAGUAACUGUUCACGUUUCGACGGUAUCUGACCAGAAAGCCACGGCUAACUACGUGCCAGCAGCCGCGGUAAUACGUAGGUGGCAAGCGUUAUCCGGAUUUAUUGGGUUUAAAGGGUGCGCAGGCGGCCUGUUAAGUCAGCGGUAAAAGCCCGGGGCUCAACCCCGGCGAGCCGUUGCAA
Molecule: ribosomal RNA, 305 nt
Filed under: uncultured bacterium
Lineage: Bacteria
Description: bacterial SSU rRNA
Rfam family: Bacterial small subunit ribosomal RNA
Source: RNAcentral